AAUUAAGAGUUUGAUCCUAGCUCAGGAUGAACGCUAGCGGUAUGCUUAACACAUGCAAGUCGUACGGAAAAGUAAUUUUUAGUGGCGAACGGGUGAGUAACACGUGAGAAUUUGCCUUUAGGAAGAGGAUAACUAUUAGAGAUAAUAGCUAAUACUCUAUAUGCCGUUUGGUGAAAGAAGUAAUUCGCCUAAAGAGAAGCUCGCGUCUGAUUAGCUAGUUGGUAGGGUAAAGGCCUACCAAGGCGACGAUCAGUAGCUGGUUUGAGAGGAUGAUCAGCCACAUUGGAACUGAGACACGGUCCAGACUCCUACGGGAGGCAGCAGUGAGGAAUUUUCUGCAAUGGGCGAAAGCCUGACAGAGCAAUACCGCGUGAGGGACGACGGCCUAUGGGUUGUAAACCUCUUUUCUCAAGGAGGAAGAUCUGACGUUACUUGAGGAAUAAGCAUCGGCUAACUCUGUGCCAGCAGCCGCGGUAAGACGGAGGAUGCAAGUGUUAUCCGGAAUUAUUGGGCGUAAAGCGUCUGCAGGUGGACUUAAAAGUCUUUUGUUAAAACUCUGGGCUCAACCCAGAAUCUGCAAAGGAAACUAUUUGUCUUGAGUAUGGUAGAGGUAAAGGGAAUUUCCAGUGGAGCGGUGAAAUGCGUAGAUAUUGGAAAGAACACCAACAGCGAAGGCACUUUACUGGGCCAGUACUGACACUGAGAGACGAAAGCUAGGGUAGCAAACGGGAUUAGAUACCCCGGUAGUCCUAGCUGUAAACGAUGGAUACUAGAUGUUGUGUAUUUUUUAAUAUGCAGUGUCGUAGCUAACGCGUUAAGUAUCCCGCCUGGGGAGUAUGCUCGCAAGGGUGAAACUCAAAGGAAUUGACGGGGGCCCGCACAAGCGGUGGAGCAUGUGGUUUAAUUCGAUCAACGCGAAGAACCUUACCAGGGUUUGACAUGAUACGAAUUUCUUUGAAAGAAGAAAGUGCCGUUUGGAACGUAUACACAGGUGGUGCAUGGCUGUCGUCAGCUCGUGUCGUGAGAUGUUGGGUUAAGUCCCGCAACGAGCGCAACCCUUAUUUUUAGUUGCCUUUAUGGAACUCUAGAAAGACUGCCGGUUAUAAACCGGAGGAAGGCGGGGAUGACGUCAAGUCAGCAUGCCCCUUACACCCUGGGCUACACACGUGCUACAAUGGGCGAGACAAUGAGACGCAAAUCUGCGAAGACUAGCUAAUCUAUAAACUCGUUCUAAGUUCGGAUUGCAGGCUGCAACUCGCCUGCAUGAAGUUGGAAUCGCUAGUAAUCGCUGGUCAGCUAUACAGCGGUGAAUUCGUUCCCGGGCCUUGUACACACCGCCCGUCACACCAUG
Molecule: ribosomal RNA, 1351 nt
Filed under: Ochromonas sp. CCMP1393
Lineage: Eukaryota; Chrysophyceae; Chromulinales; Chromulinaceae
Description: partial Bacterial small subunit ribosomal RNA
Rfam family: Bacterial small subunit ribosomal RNA
Source: RNAcentral